AAGUGCUGGGAUUACAGGCGUGAGCCACCGCACCCAGUCUCAAAAUUCUUAAUUUUUUUCUUCUUCAGAUGUGGUGUAGUACAUUUCUUAAGUCUGUCCUUUUUUGUGGAUGAUUUCUUUAUUUCUUUUUCUUUCUUUCUUUCCUUUUUUUUUUUUUAAGAUAGGGUCUGGCUUUGUUGCCCAGACUGGGAUGAGGUAGCACAAUCUCAGCUCACUGCAAUCUCCAUCUUCCAGGCACAAGCUAUCCUCCCACCUCAGCCUCCGUAGUAGCUGAGACCACAGGCACACACCACUACACC
Molecule: long non-coding RNA, 299 nt
Filed under: Homo sapiens (human)
Lineage: Eukaryota; Metazoa; Chordata; Mammalia; Primates; Hominidae
Description: HSALNT0255868
Source: RNAcentral